RNAcentral lists this ribosomal RNA (1883 nucleotides) under Providencia stuartii ATCC 25827. Its description in RNAcentral is "bacterial LSU rRNA". It matches the Rfam family "Bacterial large subunit ribosomal RNA", at positions 1065 to 2925 of the family's 2925-position model. The record is from RNAcentral. Lineage: Bacteria; Pseudomonadati; Pseudomonadota; Gammaproteobacteria; Enterobacterales; Morganellaceae.
GGGAAACGAAGUGGGAAGGCUCAGACAGCCAGGAUGUUGGCUUAUAAGCAGCCAUCAUUUAAAGAAAGCGUAAUAGCUCACUGGUCGAGUCGGCCUGCGCGGAAGAUGUAACGGGGCUAAACCAUGCACCGAAGCUGCGGCAGCGACAUGUAAAUGUUGUUGGGUAGGGGAGCGUUCUGUAAGCCUGUGAAGGUGUGCUGCGAGGCAUGCUGGAGGUAUCAGAAGUGCGAAUGCUGACAUAAGUAACGAUAAUGCGGGUGAAAAACCCGCACGCCGGAAGACCAAGGGUUCCUGUCCAACGUUAAUCGGGGCAGGGUGAGUCGACCCCUAAGGCGAGGCAGAAAUGCGUAGUCGAUGGGAAACAGGUUAAUAUUCCUGUACUGGUGAUAAUUGCGAUGGGGGGACGGAGAAGGCUAGGCUGGCCGGGCGACGGUUGUCCCGGUUUAAGGAUGUAGGUGGGUGAAUUAGGCAAAUCCGGUUCGCUAUACACUGAGGUCUGAUGACGAGUCACUACGGUGGCGAAGUAGCUCAUGCCCCGCUUCCAGGAAAAGCCUCUAAGCUCUAGAUUAUCAUUAAUCGUACCCCAAACCGACACAGGUGGUCAGGUAGAGAAUACUCAGGCGCUUGAGAGAACUCGGGUGAAGGAACUAGGCAAAAUGGUGCCGUAACUUCGGGAGAAGGCACGCUGGCAUUAGGUGAAGUGGUUUACCCAUGGAGCUGAAGCCAGUCGCAGAUACCAGCUGGCUGCAACUGUUUAUUAAAAACACAGCACUGUGCAAACACGAAAGUGGACGUAUACGGUGUGACGCCUGCCCGGUGCUGGAAGGUUAAUUGAUGGGGUUAUCCGUAAGGAGAAGCUCUUGAUCGAAGCCCCAGUAAACGGCGGCCGUAACUAUAACGGUCCUAAGGUAGCGAAAUUCCUUGUCGGGUAAGUUCCGACCUGCACGAAUGGCGUAAUGAUGGCCAGGCUGUCUCCACCCGAGACUCAGUGAAAUUGAACUCGCUGUGAAGAUGCAGUGUACCCGCGGCAAGACGGAAAGACCCCGUGAACCUUUACUAUAGCUUGACACUGAACAUUGAGCCUUGAUGUGUAGGAUAGGUGGGAGGCUUUGAAGUGUGGACGCCAGUCUGCAUGGAGCCAACCUUGAAAUACCACCCUUUAAUGUUUGAUGUUCUAACGUUGCCCCAUAAUCUGGGGUGCGGACAGUGUCUGGUGGGUAGUUUGACUGGGGCGGUCUCCUCCCAAAGCGUAACGGAGGAGCACGAAGGUUGGCUAAGCAUGGUCGGACAUCAUGCGGUUAGUGCAAAGGCAUAAGCCAGCUUGACUGCGAGAGUGACGGCUCGAGCAGGUACGAAAGUAGGUCUUAGUGAUCCGGUGGUUCUGAAUGGAAGGGCCAUCGCUCAACGGAUAAAAGGUACUCCGGGGAUAACAGGCUGAUACCGCCCAAGAGUUCAUAUCGACGGCGGUGUUUGGCACCUCGAUGUCGGCUCAUCACAUCCUGGGGCUGAAGUAGGUCCCAAGGGUAUGGCUGUUCGCCAUUUAAAGUGGUACGCGAGCUGGGUUUAGAACGUCGUGAGACAGUUCGGUCCCUAUCUGCCGUGGGCGUUGGAAGAUUGAAAGGGGCUGCUCCUAGUACGAGAGGACCGGAGUGGACGCACCGCUGGUGUUCGGGUUGUCAUGCCAAUGGCACUGCCCGGUAGCUAAGUGCGGAAGAGAUAACCGCUGAAAGCAUCUAAGCGGGAAACUUGCCUUGAGAUGAGUCUUCCCUGACUCUUUAAGGGUCCUAAAGGAACGUUUAAGACGAAGACGUUGAUAGGCUGGGUGUGUAAGCGUAGCGAUACGUUGAGCUAACCAGUACUAAUGAACCGUGAGGCUUAACCUG